Oryctes borbonicus is the source of this 98-nucleotide microRNA precursor. It matches the Rfam family "mir-210 microRNA precursor family". NCBI's taxonomy places the organism in Eukaryota, Metazoa, Arthropoda, Insecta, Coleoptera, Scarabaeidae. The record is from Rfam.
GAGAUUCUUACUGCAGCUGCUGGACGCUGCACAAGAUUAGAAUUAAUAUAACUCUUGUGCGUGUGACAGCGGCUAUUGUGAAAUCUCACUUACUCCAA